This 509-nucleotide ribosomal RNA is filed under the name Synechococcus sp. MS-M-25. Its description in RNAcentral is "bacterial SSU rRNA". It matches the Rfam family "Bacterial small subunit ribosomal RNA", at positions 116 to 659 of the family's 1533-position model. Lineage: Bacteria; Bacillati; Cyanobacteriota; Cyanophyceae; Synechococcales; Synechococcaceae. The record is from RNAcentral.
CGUGAGAAUCUGCCCUCAGGAGGGGGAUAACGGCUGGAAACGGCCGCUAAUACCCCAUAUGCCGCGAGGUGAAAUGAAUUUCGCCUGAGGAUGAGCUCGCGUCUGAUUAGCUAGUUGGUGGGGUAAAGGCCUACCAAGGCUUCGAUCGGUAGCUGGUCUGAGAGGAUGAUCAGCCACACUGGGACUGAGACACGGCCCAGACUCCUACGGGAGGCAGCAGUGGGGAAUUUUCCGCAAUGGGCGAAAGCCUGACGGAGCAACGCCGCGUGAGGGAUGAAGGCCUCUGGGCUGUAAACCUCUUUUAUCAAGGAAGAAGAUCUGACGGUACUUGAUGAAUAAGCCACGGCUAAUUCCGUGCCAGCAGCCGCGGUAAUACGGGAGUGGCAAGCGUUAUCCGGAAUUAUUGGGCGUAAAGCGUCCGCAGGCGGUCUUUUAAGUCUGCUGUUAAAGCGUGGAGCUUAACUCCAUUUCGGCAGUGGAAACUGGAAGACUAGAGUGUGGUAGGGGCA